This is a long non-coding RNA of Acinonyx jubatus (cheetah), 3325 nucleotides long. RefSeq lists it as uncharacterized. NCBI's taxonomy places the organism in Eukaryota, Metazoa, Chordata, Mammalia, Carnivora, Felidae. The record is from RefSeq and is a predicted model, not a curated record. The transcript is spliced from 3 exons.
GUGAAGGCCGCGGGAAGAGCGGAGGGAGAGGAGGGGCUCCAGGCAGGGGGCGGGAGAGGAGAGAGAGGGGUAAAGGUCUGGGGCAGGGGCGGCCGCGGAGGCGGAGGGGGGCGGCAGGAGGGGAAGGAGAUGCCCCAGCCCGCCCUUCCCUUCCUCGCGUGUCUGGGGGCCGGGGUCGUGCCCCUCCGCCCAGGGUCGCCCCGGACCGGGUUCACAUCGCACACCCAAAGGGGACACGGGCUGGGCUUGGAGUUCUGCCCUGGGGCUGACCCCGGCCUGACCCCAGUUCCCCGGGGUCUCACCCUGCCUCGGGGGACCUGCGCAGAGCCACCCGGAAGGAGCUGUGCGUCUGCUCGGAAGCCCUGGACCGGGCUCGGAUCCCCCAGCUCCCCACGACCUUGUCAGGAGAAGGGGGGGGGGCGUGGCCGGCCGGGUGCUGGGUGGCCACAAAGCCUGCUGUGGUGCACCAGGCCAGCUGUGUGUGUGGGGGGGAGGCUCCUGGGGGAAGCGGUGCCCGGGGCAGGACGGGGGUCAGAACCAGACUGCACUGUUGGAAACACUGCAGCUGCCUGUUCUCACGACCCAGGUCACCCGUGGGCAGGGGCUCCCUGCACCCCUCCGUAUUUAUGUCCCGGGAGGGCAGCCCAGAGAGCCAAGGUGGCAGGGCCCCCGUGUCCCUCAGGCUGGCUUGAGUACCCAGCCUUGCAACCCCUGUUUCCAGGGAGAGGAACUAAACCUUUUAUUCUUGUGAUUUCCCAGGUUCAGGGAGGGGAGCCUCUGGAGUAGAGCUGGAAUGUGAACGUGGUGCAGCAUCCAGAACAUCCUAAGUGUUGACCCGCACGGAAGCUUCAUCUUGGUUGAGCCUUUAAAGCGCCCGCAUGGAGUGGGUAAAGGUGGGUGGCUUGUUGAAAUCAAACAACGGGCUUCUGCCAAUAGGAAAAUAAAUGUAAACCCAAGGCAGCUCUAAGCCCAGGACACCUAAGCCCCACGAAGGGGACGGUGACCCUGACCUGGAGGAGGGUGCCUGGCACUGACCCUGCAGGAGGACUUUCCUCCCCCGGGUGUGGCUCUGUACGUCACCUGUGGGAGAUCUGUAUGCACCCAGUGGGCACCCUGGUGGCCAGGGCACAGGCUGGGGCAGCUCUGCGGAGGGUCCAGGCUCUGGCGGCCUGGAACGCGGGACCCGCGGGUGCCACGCUCUCCUGGGAGGUCCUGGGGCAGGCGGUGGGCACAGCGCGGGAUGGGUCCCUGAGUGCGUGGACAGAGCAGGCAGGCUUCACCAGGAAGGGGGCAGGCUGGCUCAGGAAGGAGCAGGUGGCUUGAGGGGGACAGGAAAUCAGAGGAAGGAGAAACUCUGCCUGGCAGAGGGUUGGUGGCCGGCAGCGGCCCCAAGACCCAGACAGGUUCCUCUUCUUGGAGGGGCCCCAGUGAGGCCGGGGGGCUCCAGUGUGGUGCGCUUUGCCUGUGUCUUUGAGACCAGUGCCCUGGUCCCCAGGACAGCAUCAAAGGCCCUCGGGUAAGAGAUGCUCUCAGGAGGCUGCAGGAAAUACCACGGCCAAAGCGAGGUGGCGCAGGAGGGCGGCUCUGCAGGAUGUGCAAACAGCGCCGCUGGUGGAGAAGACCAGGGUAGAUGGCUGGGACCCGUGCUCUGACCCCGGUGAGAAUGUGUGCGGCCUGCAGGCUCCAAUCCCAGGGGCCAGCCAGGCCUGGGCUCCGAACCCGAGUGCGGCUGCCACAGGCAGGAUUCCCGCCCAGGAUCCGGGACCCGCAGCUCAGUCACCCACACCUGCGCGGCCACGGAACCUGCAGCCCAGAACAUUGUUCCUUCUCCACGAAAGCUUUCUGCUUUGGUGCAGGGUCACCGACACGGUGGAUGUACAGAGGACAGAAUGAGACGUCUGUGCUGCUUGGAAAACGUGAGGGCUGAUUCCAAAGCUGAGGUAGUACUUACCAUCGUGGGAUGGCCCACAAACACUGACAGCAGUAGCAGGGUCUCAGUGUGACAUGCGGGACGUCACCGUUCAGGUCAUGAUCUCACAGUUCAUGAGAUCAAGCCCCACGUUGGGCUUUGUGCUGACAGCUUGGAGCCUGCUUGGGAUUCUCUCUCUCCUUCUCUCUCUGCCCCUCCCCCCUUGUGCUCCCUCUCUCUCACUCAAAAUAAAUAUUUUUUAAAAACAUUUAUUUUGAUAGUUAAGUCAUAUUUUGAGACUUUCUAGUAGGUCUUCAAAAAUUCUAAAGACACUGGGGUGCCUGGGUGGCUCAGUCAGUUAAGCGUUCGACUUUGGCUCAGGUCAUGAUCUCACGGUCUGUGGGUUUGAGCCCCACGUCAGGCUGUGCGCCGACAGCUCGGAGCCUGGAGGCUGCUUGGGAUUCUGUCUCCUCCUCUCUCUGCCCCUCCCCUGCUCAUGCUCUGUCUCUCUCUGUUUCUCAAUAAUAAAUAAACAUUAAAAAAUUAAAAGAUAAAAUUCUAAAGAUACUAAAACUAUCUGAGAUUCUCAAGAGGAUCUGUUCAUCCUUCAUGAUCUCAAAACCCUUUCUCUCUCUUUGAAUCUUGUAAAAACCAAGUGAAUAAGAACAUUGAUGUGGAUUUUUUUCAAAUUAUGAUUUUGUGCAAGGAGUUUUAAAGGCUAAUAUACUCUUCAUAAGCAAUGCACCAAGGAAUCCGUAUUUCUUAUUAAAGUUUAAACAAAUAAAUUAGGGGGCACCUGGGUGGUUCGGUAGGUUAAGCGUCUGAGUCUCGGUUUUGGCUCAGGUCAUGAUCUCAGUUUGUGAGUUCGAGCCCCACAUCAGGCUCUGUGCUGGAAGCAUAGAAUCUGUUUGAGAUUUCUCUCCCACCUCUCUCUGUCCCUCUCUGGAUUUCUCUUUCUAAAAAAAAAAAAAUAAAUAAACAUUAAAAAACAAUAAAUUAGGACAGCGCCUGUCAGUGGGCCCCGAGGGUGCCAGGCACAGCAGCACUGUGGUUUCCGGAUGUUGUGAUUUCUAGUGUCUUGCUGAUGGGUCUGCAAAGAAAAUGCUGUAAGGAGACACGAUAGGUCGCCUCCAGUAAUGUGCUGUGGGGCCUUAAGUGUAAAUUUCUCUGGACGUUGAGCAGCAAGUACUUACUCCAGAUUGGCUGGUUUUAGCCAUGACACCUGUCCACUAACUAUGGGGUUGGUGUCUUCAGUGUCUGAGAAAUUCUUCAUCUGGUUAAUAGUUGACAGGUUCUCGGAUUAGGACAAGUGAAUGCAUCUCGGUGAUAAGUUAGACAUUUGCUAUUUCAAUGUUCCUGAAUUAUUCCAAUGAGUCCUGAAAUCAUAAAAAUGUACAAAAUGUACAAAGGUGAGUA